This 253-nucleotide ribosomal RNA is filed under the name uncultured bacterium. RNAcentral's name for it is "partial 16S ribosomal RNA". It matches the Rfam family "Bacterial small subunit ribosomal RNA", at positions 524 to 776 of the family's 1533-position model. The record is from RNAcentral.
UACGAAGGGGGCUAGCGUUGCUCGGAAUCACUGGGCGUAAAGCGCACGUAGGCGGCUUGUUAAGUCAGGGGUGAAAUCCUGGAGCUCAACUCCAGAACUGCCUUUGAUACUGGCGAGCUUGAGUCCGGGAGAGGUGAGUGGAACUGCGAGUGUAGAGGUGAAAUUCGUAGAUAUUCGCAAGAACACCGGUGGCGAAGGCGGCUCACUGGCCCGGUACUGACGCUGAGGUGCGAAAGCGUGGGGAGCAAACAGG